Gasterosteus aculeatus aculeatus (three-spined stickleback) is the source of this 475-nucleotide long non-coding RNA. Lineage: Eukaryota; Metazoa; Chordata; Actinopteri; Perciformes; Gasterosteidae. The record is from Ensembl.
CAGUAGCACAACGACUAACCCAGUAGCACAACAGCUAACCCAGUAGCACAACAGUUAACCCAGUAGCACAAAGGCUAACCCGGUAGCACAUCAGUUAACCCAGUAGCACAACAGUUAACCCGGUAGCACAACGACUAACCCAGUAGCACAACAGUUAACCCAGUAGCACAACGACUAACCCAGUAGCACAACAGUUAACCCAGUAGCACAACGACUAACCCAGUAGCACAACAGUUAACCCAGUAGCACAAAGGCUAACCCGGUAGCACAAAGCCUAACCCAGUAGCGCGUAUGAUAACCCAGUAGCACAUCAGUUAACCCAGUAGCACAUGGGCUAACCCAGUAGCGCGUAUGAUAACCCAGUAGCACAGCGAAUAACCCAGUAGCACAUUGUUUACAACAACAAGCUCCUGUGUCAACAAGGCCUCUCACGUUUGGAAAAAAACACAGUAGAAAAAGUCUCUAACUGACACUU